Molecule: ribosomal RNA, 484 nt
Filed under: uncultured bacterium
Lineage: Bacteria
Description: partial 16S ribosomal RNA
Rfam family: Bacterial small subunit ribosomal RNA
Source: RNAcentral
AGUGAACGCUGGCGGCGUGCUUAACACAUGCAAGUCGAACGAGAACGGGCUAUAGCUUGCUAUAGUUGUCAGCUAAGUGGCGCACGGGUGAGUAAUGUAUAGGUAAUAUGCCUCUUACUAAGGGAUAACAAAUGGAAACGUUUGCUAAUACCUUAUACUCCUUAUUAACAGAAGUUAAUAAGGGAAAGAUUUAUUGGUAAGAGAUUAGCCUGUAUUGUAUCAGUUAGUUGGUGGGGUAAUGGCUUACCAAGACUAUGACACAUAACUGGUUUGAGAGGAUGAUCAGUCAAACUGGAACUGAGACACGGUCCAGACUCCUACGGGAGGCAGCAGUGGGGAAUAUUGCACAAUAGACUAAAGUCUGAUGCAGCAACGCCGCGUGGAGGAUGACACAUUUCGGUGCGUAAACUCCUUUUAUAUGAGAAGAUAAUGACGGUAUUAUAUGAAUAAGCACCGGCUAACUCCGUGCCAGCCGCCGCGGUAA